AAACGCACCUCUAACCCGGUAAAAUUAUCACCAAAUCCCCAAAAAACGAUUCUAAUCAUAUUCCAAGCCAAAACCCUUCCCCAAAAUCAUAUCUCCCUUCAUUCAUUUACAAGAAAAUCUCAAUCCAUAAUCAUCAUUUUGAUCUUCCACACAUUAUCCGCAAAAAUGUAAUCACCAGAAUAUCACCCAAAUCAACCAUUUGAUUUGUACUUUCAGUUGUUACUAUAAAACCCCAAUCUACGUAGAAAAUAUCAAAAUCUCCUUGUUAAAAUGUAUACCAUGGCUGCUGAUACAAACACAUCUUCAUUGGGAUAUGUAUGGCUUGUGAGAAAUGUCAAAGAGACUCCAGUCGCAGCCGACCAGCAAUGACGUUUGUCCAUGGUUAACAUCAAGACCCAGCAAGCAGGCGAAUACUCCAAGUCCUGUGAGAUUAUCGAACCCAAGAACGAAACGAUUAAUACCCCUACUCGUCGCAUUACCCAUUCUAUUUACAUAUCCUCACAGUCGAAAGAUUUCGCCAGUGGUCCAUCUGCUACAAGGGUCGUGAACACCAACUCCUAAAAUUUGGGAAAGUUUAUCCAAAUGAAGGACAGUGAUAAGAGGCUCAUUGAAGACGCACUUGCAAAUCCAAGCAACACAAAGAAAAAGUUUGGAGCCCCACACAAACACAGGUAUUUUUUUGGUGUCUUAACAAAUAUUUUGGACCCUUAUACCAGUUACGAUAGCAAAUAUUUAUGAUUAUCAAUUUAUACAUGAUUUCAUUCAAGUGAAUAGAUAGAGGGGUGUGAUUGUCGAAACCUGACUUCUUGAUUUCUUGUGUAAUUGAAUACCCCAUUAUAUUUAUGAUUGAUGCCUAGGAUAUGGUCAUUUAUUGCACAAAUAUUAUUGCUUAUGAUUUUCACUUAGAAUAAUGAAAUUCCUAAGUUGUAUACGAACACACAACGAAGUAGAGUGUUAAGCUGUUAUAAUGAGUCUCAUAUAUUAUGUUGUAGUAAUUAGUUUAAGAAGUAAUUAUUUUCAGUCAUGUGCAAUAAAAGUCCAAUAUAUAAAUAAUUUUCAUGAAAUUUUGAUCACUGUAUUACGUUUUUCUCAUGGGAUUUUAUUAUUGAAUUGUAUGGAUUUAUUGUUUUGCUUUGGAUCAAUGCUUUAUGAUGCACAUGUUUUCAUAUAUGAACGAGGGGUGAAUAGAGUAUUUCAGUCAAAUGCAUAAUAUUUUCAAUACGGAUGAAGUACAUUCGGAUACAACACCAAACAACACAUAUACAUGCCUCAAUUUGUGAUAUGUCAAUGAUGGAAAUAAAAUCAUUCAAAUUUGGAAUUUGUUUUGAAAUAUCAGAACAUAGAAUGUGUGAAUCAUUGCACCAAUUUAUAUGCACAUCAAUCUCCUUUGUAGGGUUCAAUCUAUACUCCGUUGGUAUAUUUGGCAAGAUCUCUACCACUCUUACAUGUAAUGCAUAGACCGUCAUGCAUGCAUCUCUACGCUUAAGCUCCAAAUAGAAAUGUAGAGAGCCGUAAUUUUUUAUUCGGAUAGGGGACAUAUCUACAUCAGCAAUGUACUCAAUCUUCGAGAUUAUUAUAUUUGGAAAUAUUAUAUUUUAAGAAAUAGGUAGAUUCGAGAUUAUUUUACAUUUAAUCAAGUAUUUUUGGUUUUGUAAACGUAACAUAGUAAAUGAUGAAAUAAUUUUCAGUAAUGAUACAAUUACCAAAAUUUCCCAGGGCUAAAUUUUUGCUACAAACUGGAAGUCCAAUUUACAUUUUGGGUGGGCUUUUGAAGUUCGGUCACAGUCCAGAAAGGCCAACUUGAAAAAGAUGAUCAUUGCUUGUCACUUUGUUUGCUGAAAAUGGUAAGAAGCACCAAAUAAAUAUGGGAAAAGCUCAUAUGUCAUCAUCUGGGUGCAUGAACAGGAGAGGCAUGAAAGAUAAGUGCAGUCAAUGGAGAUUAUAAUUAGGCUUUUGUGGUGCUUAAGAAGUUUCUUGAUCUUUAAUUAUCAACAAUCUUGACUUUACCAACAUUAUUGCCACUUGCCGAAUGCACCAAUAAUUGGCCAAACAUGGUCUUUUACCUUAAUUCAAUUCUAAGCACUCAAAAUUUUAAACUUAUUAUUAAG
RNAcentral lists this long non-coding RNA (2108 nucleotides) under Olea europaea subsp. europaea. The record is from RNAcentral. Lineage: Eukaryota; Viridiplantae; Streptophyta; Magnoliopsida; Lamiales; Oleaceae.